RNAcentral lists this ribosomal RNA (397 nucleotides) under uncultured bacterium. RNAcentral's name for it is "bacterial SSU rRNA". It matches the Rfam family "Bacterial small subunit ribosomal RNA", at positions 28 to 419 of the family's 1533-position model. The record is from RNAcentral.
GACGAACGCUGGCGGCGUGCUUAACACAUGCAAGUGGAGCGACGAACCAGGCUUCGGCCUGGGGCAAAGCCGCGAACGGGUGAGUAACACGUGGGUAACCUGCCCUGAUGACUGGGACAACCCGGGGAAACUCGGGCUAAUACCAGAUGUGGUCACUCCACACGAGUGGAAUGACUAAAGGUAGCUUCGGCCUCCGCAUCAGGAUGGGCCCGCGGCGCAUUAGCUUGUUGGUGGGGAAUGGCCUACCAAGGCGACGAUGCGUAGCUGGUCUGAGAGGACGAUCAGCCAGACUGGGACUGAGACACGGCCCAGACUCCUACGGGAGGCAGCAGUUAGGAAUUUUGGGCAAUGGGCGCAAGCCUGACCCAGCAACGCCGCGUGGGUGACGAAGGCCUGG